RNAcentral lists this long non-coding RNA (272 nucleotides) under Nicotiana benthamiana. RNAcentral describes it as "long non-coding RNA (NBEN_LNC011313)". Lineage: Eukaryota; Viridiplantae; Streptophyta; Magnoliopsida; Solanales; Solanaceae. The record is from RNAcentral.
CUGAAUAUUAUGAUAUAUUAAAUAAAUCAAAGGGACUUGAUCACUUUUCCCAAAAUACACGUAAAGCAUGAAUCCUCAUACUGGUAAGAAAAAACAGGGAGGUUUACUGUGGAGACUGAGCAAAAAUUCCACGUAAAGCAUGAAUCCUCAUACUGGUAAGAAAAAACAGAGAGGUUUACUGUGGAGACUGAGCAACCGAUAAAGCAACAGACAUAAAUUUAACGUACUCGUCAACAACUUCAUUUAGGGACAAAAUCUUUAUCCCAAAUUGU